CUCAUUUACAUAACCACGCCCCACAUAACCAGGGUAGGAUGCGCGAGGGUAUAUGCGCAGUCACGCGCAGACCGAAGGGUGUGAGAUGUCUGAAGGUCUGAAGGUCCUGAUUCUGGUUUGUAUGGAUCAGACCCUGACCCCCCUCCUGGACUGGGAGGUAGAGUGCAGCAGCUUGUAUCCAGUGCUGUCCAGCCCAGAAGAAUUCAGUGAAAAACUUCUCUAACGCCUGCACAAUGCUUCUAUGGAGAUUCCAUCAAAACCACAAACACACACUACAGUAACCUCAUUAAGCUGGCAAGGUAGCAGCUGAAUUGCCGAGGUGAACAUCUGACCUGAUAGCGGGCAGCUCUACCUGAUGCCCCUGUGCACAUGGACUGGGUAGCUUAGCCCAAACCCCCACCUUUAACAGUGCAGCA
This is a long non-coding RNA of Silurus meridionalis, 416 nucleotides long. RefSeq lists it as uncharacterized. The record is from RefSeq and is a predicted model, not a curated record. The transcript is spliced from 3 exons. Lineage: Eukaryota; Metazoa; Chordata; Actinopteri; Siluriformes; Siluridae.